RNAcentral lists this small RNA (19 nucleotides) under Arabidopsis thaliana (thale cress). Its description in RNAcentral is "ATSL069580". Lineage: Eukaryota; Viridiplantae; Streptophyta; Magnoliopsida; Brassicales; Brassicaceae. The record is from RNAcentral.
UUUUUGUUUUGUUUUUGUU